This 83-nucleotide ribosomal RNA is filed under the name Escherichia coli. RNAcentral also lists the same sequence under 4 other names. Lineage: Bacteria; Pseudomonadati; Pseudomonadota; Gammaproteobacteria; Enterobacterales; Enterobacteriaceae. The record is from RNAcentral.
UGGCGGCCUUAGCGCGGUGGUCCCACCUGACCCCAUGCCGAACUCAGAAGUGAAACGCCGUAGCGCCGAUGGUAGUGUGGGGU